AGAGUUUGAUCAUGGCUCAGGACGAACGCUGGCGGCGUGCUUAACACAUGCAAGUCGAACGGAAAGGCCCUUCGGGGUACUCGAGUGGCGAACGGGUGAGUAACACGUGAGCAACCUGUCCUCCAGUCUGGGAUAAGCCAGGGAAACUUGGUCUAAUACCGGAUACCUUCACAAACUCCUAUGUGAUUGUGAAGAAAGAUUUAUCGCUGGAUGAGGGGCUCGCGGCCUAUCAGCUUGUUGGUGGGGUAACGGCCUACCAAGGCAUCGACGGGUAGCUGGUCUGAGAGGAUGAUCAGCCACACUGGAACUGAGACACGGUCCAGACUCCUACGGGAGGCAGCAGUGGGGAAUCUUGCGCAAUGGGCGAAAGCCUGACGCAGCAACGCCGCGUGAGGGAUGAAGGCUUUCGGGUUGUAAACCUCUUUCAGCAGGAACGAAAUUGACGGUACCUGCAGAAGAAGCACCGGCCAACUACGUGCCAGCAGCCGCGGUAAUACGUAGGGUGCAAGCGUUGUCCGGAUUUAUUGGGCGUAAAGAGCUCGUAGGCGGUUAAGAAAGUCAGGUGUGAAACCUCCAGGCUCAACCUGGAGACGCCACUUGAUACUUCUUUGACUUGAGUUCGGUAGGGGUAAGCGGAAUUCCUGGUGUAGCGGUGAAAUGCACAGAUAUCGGAGGAACACCGAUGGCGAAGGCAGCUUACUGGGCCGAAACUGACGCUGAGGAGCGAAAGCGUGGGGAGCGAACAGGAUUAGAUACCCUAGUAGUCC
This 767-nucleotide ribosomal RNA is filed under the name uncultured bacterium. RNAcentral's name for it is "bacterial SSU rRNA". It matches the Rfam family "Bacterial small subunit ribosomal RNA", at positions 8 to 796 of the family's 1533-position model. The record is from RNAcentral.